UACGCACGCUGGCGGCGUGCCUAAUACAUGCAAGUUGAGCGCUGAAGGUUGGUACUUGUACCAACUGGAUGAGCAGCGAACGGGUGAGUAACGCGUGGGGAAUCUGCCUUUGAGCGGGGGACAACAUUUGGAAACGAAUGCUAAUACCGCAUAAAAACUUUAAACACAAGUUUUAAGUUUGAAAGAUGCAAUUGCAUCACUCAAAGAUGAUCCCGCGUUGUAUUAGCUAGUUGGUGAGGUAAAGGCUCACCAAGGCGAUGAUACAUAGCCGACCUGAGAGGGUGAUCGGCCACAUUGGGACUGAGACACGGCCCAAACUCCUACGGGAGGCAGCAGUAGGGAAUCUUCGGCAAUGGACGAAAGUCUGACCGAGCAACGCCGCGUGAGUGAAGAAUGUUGUCGGAUCGUAAAACUCUGUUGGUAGAGAAGAACGUUGGUGAGAGUGGAAAGCUCAUCAAGUGACGGUAACUACCCAGAAAGGGACGGCUAACUACGUG
RNAcentral lists this ribosomal RNA (497 nucleotides) under uncultured bacterium. RNAcentral's name for it is "partial 16S ribosomal RNA". It matches the Rfam family "Bacterial small subunit ribosomal RNA", at positions 29 to 507 of the family's 1533-position model. The record is from RNAcentral.